UUCAAUCCUGCCCAAGUGGCUGAAAGCCUGUUUGUUUUACGACAAACAGGAAAAGGGGCCUUCACUGAAGUUCGGGCCCAAGGCGGAGUCUGAAGCCGACACUCUACUAUGUUUCUUCGGGGAAUCCUGGAGCUGAGACUGUUUGAGAUGCCUCUCUUCCCCACUUUUGGACCAGAAUAGUAUUGGAAGAGACACCCAGGCCUCCGGUUCUGACCACCACCGCUGGGGGCUUGGGGGUGGACUGGGGGGAGGGGUGGAUGAGGGGCUGAAAUGUCCCCAUGUGAUAAGCCAGGAAUGUGUCUCUGAAAAAAUAAUCGUGAUGUCUUCAUUUUUCUGUUGCCCUUUGCAGCUGUUUCCAAACCCUUGCAGUAUCAGUGAUUUCAAGGAAUCCUCACCUCCUUCUGGAGAGUUUCUUCUGAAAUGCAGACACUACUGUGCCACCAAGUUCCUCCUGCAAGUAUCUGAAAUUAUUUCCCAGGAAUAUCACUGCCUGAUUUUUCUAGGUGAGGAAGCUAAAGCCCUGAGACCUUUACAGAGCUGGGACAUGCACUGGGGCUUCUGAGUUCUAACAUCGAUGAGCUUCACUGCUGUACCCUACUGCCUGCAGCAGAUUCUGGAACUGUGAGUGAACGAUCACCAAGCUUAGAGGCCUACAUAGUCCAGGGUAUGGCACCCAGUCACUCAAUGACAAGUGAGAACCCAUUACCACAGCCUUGGAUGUUAGUUCUCUUUGUUUCUUGAAAGUUAAUUUCAUUGCAGGUUCAAACCUCUUACGUUAUCUCCCUUCUAGACCACUCUCUCCCCUUCUGGUCUGCUUCCUACCCAACGGCUCUCUCUAAUGGCUCUUGAACAUCUAGAGUCAACCUUUUCCUCCAAAAGAAAUACACACACAUCCAUAUACCCUGCGAGCCUCCCCACUGCUCUGUGGCCUUCCCCAAGCCCCUUUGCUCCCCACGAUCCCCCCCCCAUGCUAUUUUUCCUCAAUGCCAUUGAAUAUCACCCGCCACUCCCACCCCCCACCACAACACUGUUCUCUGACCGAGAGGACUUGGGAGCUGCGUCCUCCUCUGAACCGCUCCAGCACUGGGGUCUCAGCCAGCUGCUGCCUGCCCAGGGGCUGCAGGGUUAUUGCAAGAAGUCUCGGUGUCUAUUUGUAUUCCAAAUAUCGUCUGCCGACUGGAUAAGUAAUGUCUGGGUAUGACUGUGCUACUGCUUUUCAGCUGUGCUGAAUCCCUGGUCGUUUUUCCACUGUGAAUUUCCCCGGUUGACUAAAACCCUAAAUAACAGCCCCUUUCAUUUGCAGGACUGCAACAAUUUCCAAGCUGUGGGGAGGGAGUCCUCCCGCCGGAGCGGGUUGGAAGCCACUGAGCCCAGGCUGUGGAGGCAGCAUGUUGUCCCUGCUCCGCAGAGACCUAGUCAUGAGACCUGAGGUCAGAUUCCAGCUCCUCCCCAGGCUGGUUGGAUGAUCUUGGGGGCAGCCCCGUGUGACCUGGAGAGCUUGGGUUUCCUCAUCCCGAAGCAGAGAUUGUGAACAUGAUUUGGCAGGAUUGUCAAGAUGAUUAAAUGAGAUAGAUCAAGGGCUUUGAAAGCUGUGGAGUGUGGCACAGAUGGAGGGAUUGUUGUGGUCAUCUAAGACACUGACACAGAUGGUCAGCUUCUCCAGGGCAGGGACAGUCCCCUCCCUCAGUGACACUUCUUGCGUUCAACGCAGGUGGGUGAGAUGACCUCGUAAAAACACCUCUAAGCGACGCGCACAGUGGCUCAGCACACAGGCGUUUAAUAAACGGUAAUGGGUAUGUAUGCAUGUGCCUCUGGUUCGAAUCUUCUGUCUGCCCCUGGCUGGGUUAGAGAGUAUGACAGUGGGCGAGGUUAGCGCUGACAGACUCUCGAGUCCUUGUCUACCACAUGGCUGAAGUGACAGCGGCUGCUUGGUGAGGCGGCCGUGAGGCUGAAGGAGCUGUCUGUGUACCAGAGCUGGGCACAAACUGCAACUCCGUGGGCAGCAGCUCUUGUUUCACUAUGAUUUUUUUUUAACUUAUUUAGGAGAGAGCACACACGCAAGCGGGGCGAGCAGCAGAGGGAAAAGGAGAAGCA
Molecule: long non-coding RNA, 2094 nt
Organism: Mustela erminea (ermine)
Lineage: Eukaryota; Metazoa; Chordata; Mammalia; Carnivora; Mustelidae
Exons: 3
Source: RefSeq, a predicted model, not a curated record